Molecule: transfer RNA, 87 nt
Filed under: Acidobacteriota bacterium
Lineage: Bacteria; Pseudomonadati; Acidobacteriota
Also listed under: 1 other name
Description: Acidobacteria bacterium tRNA-Leu
Rfam family: tRNA
About the family: Transfer RNA (tRNA) molecules are approximately 80 nucleotides in length. Their secondary structure includes four short double-helical elements and three loops (D, anti-codon, and T loops).
Source: RNAcentral
GCUGGAGUGGCGUAAUUGGCAGUCGCGCCGGUCUUAGAAACCGGUGCCCGUUCGGGCGUGAGAGUUCGAUUCUCUCCUCCAGCACCA